This 1343-nucleotide ribosomal RNA is filed under the name uncultured bacterium. Its description in RNAcentral is "16S ribosomal RNA". It matches the Rfam family "Bacterial small subunit ribosomal RNA", at positions 28 to 1378 of the family's 1533-position model. The record is from RNAcentral.
GACGAACGCUGGCGGCGUGCUUAACACAUGCAAGUCGAACGGAAAGGCCCUGCUUUUGUGGGGUGCUCGAGUGGCGAACGGGUGAGUAACACGUGAGUAACCUGCCCUUGACUUUGGGAUAACUUCAGGAAACUGGGGCUAAUACCGGAUAGGAGCUCCUGCUGCAUGGUGGGGGUUGGAAAGUUUCGGCGGUUGGGGAUGGACUCGCGGCUUAUCAGCUUGUUGGUGGGGUAGUGGCUUACCAAGGCUUUGACGGGUAGCCGGCCUGAGAGGGUGACCGGCCACAUUGGGACUGAGAUACGGCCCAGACUCCUACGGGAGGCAGCAGUGGGGAAUAUUGCACAAUGGGCGGAAGCCUGAUGCAGCAACGCCGCGUGCGGGAUGACGGCCUUCGGGUUGUAAACCGCUUUCGCCUGUGACGAAGCGUGAGUGACGGUAAUGGGUAAAGAAGCACCGGCUAACUACGUGCCAGCAGCCGCGGUGAUACGUAGGGUGCGAGCGUUGUCCGGAUUUAUUGGGCGUAAAGGGCUCGUAGGUGGUUGAUCGCGUCGGAAGUGUAAUCUUGGGGCUUAACCCUGAGCGUGCUUUCGAUACGGGUUGACUUGAGGAAGGUAGGGGAGAAUGGAAUUCCUGGUGGAGCGGUGGAAUGCGCAGAUAUCAGGAGGAACACCAGUGGCGAAGGCGGUUCUCUGGGCCUUUCCUGACGCUGAGGAGCGAAAGCGUGGGGAGCGAACAGGCUUAGAUACCCUGGUAGUCCACGCUGUAAACGGUGGGUACUAGGUGUGGGGUCCAUUCCACGGGUUCCGUGCCGUAGCUAACGCUUUAAGUACCCCGCCUGGGGAGUACGGCCGCAAGGCUAAAACUCAAAGGAAUUGACGGGGCCCCGCACAAGCGGCGGAGCAUGCGGAUUAAUUCGAUGCAACGCGUAGAACCUUACCUGGGUUUGACAUGGAUCGGGAGUGCCCAGAGAUGGGUGUGCCUCUUUUGGGGUCGGUUCACAGGUGGUGCAUGGCUGUCGUCAGCUCGUGUCGUGAGAUGUUGGGUUAAGUCCCGCAACGAGCGCAACCCUUGUUCACUGUUGCCAGCACGUUAUGGUGGGGACUCAGUGGAGACCGCCGGGGUCAACUCGGAGGAAGGUGGGGAUGACGUCAAGUCAUCAUGCCCCUUAUGUCCAGGGCUUCACGCAUGCUACAAUGGCUGGUACAGAGAGUGGCGAGCCUGUGAGGGUGAGCGAAUCUCGGAAAGCCGGUCUCAGUUCGGAUUGGGGUCUGCAACUCGACCUCAUGAAGUCGGAGUCGCUAGUAAUCGCAGAUCAGCAACGCUGCGGUGAAUACGUUCCCGGG